This 1347-nucleotide ribosomal RNA is filed under the name uncultured bacterium. Its description in RNAcentral is "bacterial SSU rRNA". It matches the Rfam family "Bacterial small subunit ribosomal RNA", at positions 28 to 1381 of the family's 1533-position model. The record is from RNAcentral.
GACGAACCCCUUCGGCGUGCUUAACACAUGCAAGUCGAACGGAAAGGCCCUGCUUUUGUGGGGUGCUCGAGUGGCGAACGGGUGAGUAACACGUGAGUAACCUGCCCUUGACUUUGGGAUAACUUCAGGAAACUGGGGCUAAUACCGGAUAGGAGCUCCUGCUGCAUGGUGGGGGUUGGAAAGUUUCGGCGGUUGGGGAUGGACUCGCGGCUUAUCAGCUUGUUGGUGGGGUAGUGGCUUACCAAGGCUUUGACGGGUAGCCGGCCUGAGAGGGUGACCGGCCACAUUGGGACUGAGAUACGGCCCAGACUCCUACGGGAGGCAGCAGUGGGGAAUAUUGCACAAUGGGCGGAAGCCUGAUGCAGCAACGCCGCGUGCGGGAUGACGGCCUUCGGGUUGUAAACCGCUUUCGCCUGUGACGAAGCGUGAGUGACGGUAAUGGGUAAAGAAGCACCGGCUAACUACGUGCCAGCAGCCGCGGUGAUACGUAGGGUGCGAGCGUUGUCCGGAUUUAUUGGGCGUAAAGGGCUCGUAGGUGGUUGAUUGCGUCGGAAGUGUAAUCUUGGGGCUUAACCCUGAGCGUGCUUUCGAUACGGGUUGACUUGAGGAAGGUAGGGGAGAAUGGAAUUCCUGGUGGAGCGGUGGAAUGCGCAGAUAUCAGGAGGAACACCAGUGGCGAAGGCGGUUCUCUGGGCCUUUCCUGACGCUGAGGAGCGAAAGCGUGGGGAGCGAACAGGCUUAGAUACCCUGGUAGUCCACGCUGUAAACGGUGGGUACUAGGUGUGGGGUCCAUUCCACGGGUUCCGUGCCGUAGCUAACGCUUUAAGUACCCCGCCUGGGGAGUACGGCCGCAAGGCUAAAACUCAAAGGAAUUGACGGGGCCCCGCACAAGCGGCGGAGCAUGCGGAUUAAUUCGAUGCAACGCGUAGAACCUUACCUGGGUUUGACAUGGAUCGGGAGUGCUCAGAGAUGGGUGUGCCUCUUUUGGGGUCGGUUCACAGGUGGUGCAUGCCUGUCGUCAGCUCGUGUCGUGAGAUGUUGGGUUAAGUCCCGCAACGAGCGCAACCCUUGUUCACUGUUGCCAGCACGUUAUGGUGGGGACUCAGUGGAGACCGCCGGGGUCAACUCGGAGGAAGGUGGGGAUGACGUCAAGUCCUCAUGCCCCUUAUGUCCAGGGCUUCACGCAUGCUACAAUGGCUGGUACAGAGAGUGGCGAGCCUGUGAGGGUGAGCGAAUCUCGGAAAGCCGGUCUCAGUUCGGAUUGGGGUCUGCAACUCGACCUCAUGAAGUCGGAGUCGCUAGUAAUCGCAGAAUCAGCAACGCUGCGGUGAAUACGUUCCCGGGGCU